This 238-nucleotide ribosomal RNA is filed under the name uncultured bacterium. RNAcentral's name for it is "partial 16S ribosomal RNA". It matches the Rfam family "Bacterial small subunit ribosomal RNA", at positions 100 to 339 of the family's 1533-position model. The record is from RNAcentral.
GAACGGGUGAGGAACACGUGAGAAACCUGCCUUUCAUUCUGGGAUAACACCGGGAAACCGGUGCUAAUACCGGAUACUCCAUCUUGGCGGCAUCGCCGAGCUGGGAAAAAAUUUUGAUGAAAGAUGGUCUCGCGGCCUAUCAGCUAGUUGGCGGGGUAAUGGCCCACCAAGGCAACGACGGGUAGCCGGCCUGAGAGGGCGACCGGCCACACUGGGACUGAGACACGGCCCAGACUCC